GACGAACGCUGGCGGCGUGCUUAACACAUGCAAGUCGAACGGAAAGGCCCUGCUUUUGUGGGGUGCUCGAGUGGCGAACGGGUGAGUAACACGUGAGUAACCUGCCCUUGACUUUGGGAUAACUUCAGGAAACUGGGGCUAAUACCGGAUAGGAGCUCCUGCUGCAUGGUGGGGGUUGGAAAGUUUCGGCGGUUGGGGAUGGACUCGCGGCUUAUCAGCUUGUUGGUGGGGUAGUGGCUUACCAAGGCUUUGACGGGUAGCCGGCCUGAGAUGGUGACCGGCCACAUUGGGACGGAGAUACGGCCCAGACUCCUACGGGAGGCAGCAGUGGGGAAGAUUGCACGAUGGGCGGAAGCCUGAUGCAGCAACUCCGCGUGCGGGAUGACGGCCUUCGGGUUGUAAACCGCUUUCGCCUGUGACGAAGCGUGAGUGACGGUAAUGGGUAAAGAAGCACCGGCUAACUACGUG
RNAcentral lists this ribosomal RNA (468 nucleotides) under uncultured bacterium. RNAcentral's name for it is "partial 16S ribosomal RNA". It matches the Rfam family "Bacterial small subunit ribosomal RNA", at positions 28 to 507 of the family's 1533-position model. The record is from RNAcentral.